Molecule: long non-coding RNA, 1151 nt
Organism: Bombus pyrosoma
Lineage: Eukaryota; Metazoa; Arthropoda; Insecta; Hymenoptera; Apidae
Exons: 4
Source: RefSeq, a predicted model, not a curated record
GUUGGCCUACUGCGCAUCCUACUCGCGCAGUUUACCAGAGACCAUGGACAGUGGCACAGCUUGUCGAUCGCAAAGUAAAUUUUUCUAAUUAUUUCAAUGAAUAUUGCGCGUAAUCAGUGUACCGUGUUACGUAGUUUCACAGACAAAGUACAAAGGACACGUUAUUUCCUCGGUAUACGUAAUUUCUAUUAAUAGUAGCACCUGAGACAAGAAAAUAAAGAGUCACGACGAGCGUUUAAGGUGUCAAGCGAAAGAAGAGCCUAACAACUUGAGUCAAAACAGUGCAGAUCUCAAGGAACGCAAUUCGUUACGAGAACACGGUGAAAUGGAAGUGAAAUUGUGGCGAGUAUUCCACGUAACGAGUUCUCGACGAUUACCUUCACUCUGCUCGAUGAUGUGUUUCUAAUUUCCUCUUGCCCGCUUUGUCAACAAAAUCGAUUCCUGAGGUAAUAAAUUACACCAGAGGUCACGAAAAUGUGUGAUCCAGCUAGUUUCCUUGGAUUCGAGGAGCUCGUGAGAUGCUAAGAUCAGCAAGUGGUGAUAACGAAGUUUCCAGUAAUUCGACGAAUAUGGUCAUCGUCCUUAUAAAGACAACGUCUUUGUAGCGGUAAUACAACAGUUUUAUCAUUCACCCUUCACUUUGCGCUCGUCCAAUUCCUCUUCUGUGACGAUAUCAGGAAUUGCGCUAAGUGAACUAUGGGAAAUUCAGACAAUUUUCGGGUAAACAAACAGUAAAUAAACAAACGAAAAUGAAAAUAAACAUACGAAAAUGAAAAUAAAUAUACGAAAAUGGAAAUAAACAUACGAAAAUAUAAAUAAACAAGCGGAAGUGUAAAUAAACAAAGCAGAAAUGUGAAUAAACACACUAAAGUAAAUAUACACACGAAAAUGUAAACAAACAAGCGGAAAUAUAAAUAAACAAAGCGGAGAUGUAAAUAGACACACGAAAAAGUAAAUAGACACACAAAAAUGUAAAUUGUUUCUAAACAGAGCGAGGAAUCAUCUGAGCUCUGAGAAAUCUUUAGAAAACUUUUGUUUCUUUACAUUCCACAUGUAAAUAUGCAAAGCAAAAUGUAAAUAUACAUUAGAAGUUUCAAUAAACAUGUCGAUGUUUGUAAACAAAACGGAAAGCCCAAGUAGUUCUCUAGUGA